AUGCUUUCCCCUUCACAUUCUCCGCGGCAUCUCUCUGUUUUACCGCCUUAUCCAACAAUAAUAACAACCUCUACCUCUGCACUUUCGGUUCAGAUUCAACCGUGUGACAACACCAAACCUUCACUUUCUCCACUGAGGAACAAUUUUUUUUCUUUUACUGUAAUCUCCCGUCCCCUGCCUCUGUUCAUCAUUUUAGGUUUUAUAGCAUUAGAUACAUAG
Non-coding RNA from Vicia faba (fava bean), 219 nucleotides. Lineage: Eukaryota; Viridiplantae; Streptophyta; Magnoliopsida; Fabales; Fabaceae. The record is from the annotation of a GenBank genome assembly.